GAGAAGUAUCGACAUAAUGAGCUGCUGUUCUUCGACAAGUACUACAGAGGACUGAACAUGUACCACCCCAGGAUGCAGCCAACACCAGUUCCUCAUGCAGCACCUAUGAACCUCCAAGCUUUAUUUGAACCAACAGAAGCACACAUUAAAUGGGACCCACCGCCAUUGCUGCAAUAUCAAGGUCGUGGAGCGUGGAACCAGUGGGACUAUGAGUUGUCCUUGUUUGAUGUGGAGGACAGGGACAACACAGAACAGUCCAUCAA
Molecule: long non-coding RNA, 263 nt
Organism: Haliotis rubra (blacklip abalone)
Lineage: Eukaryota; Metazoa; Mollusca; Gastropoda; Lepetellida; Haliotidae
Exons: 3
Source: RefSeq, a predicted model, not a curated record